GUUUCCGUAGUGUAGCGGUUAUCACGUGAGUCUAACACACUCAAGGUCCCCGGUUCGAUCCCGGGCGGAAACA
This 73-nucleotide transfer RNA is filed under the name Lytechinus variegatus (green sea urchin). RNAcentral describes it as "tRNA-Val". The record is from RNAcentral. Lineage: Eukaryota; Metazoa; Echinodermata; Echinoidea; Temnopleuroida; Toxopneustidae.